CUGCCGGUGAUAAACCGGAGGAAGGUGGGGAUGACGUCAAAUCAUCACGGCCCUUAUGUCCAGGGCUACACACGUGCUACAAUGGCCGGUACAAAGCGUUGCAAACCUGCGAAGGGGAGCCAAUCGCAAAAAACCGGUCUCAGUUCAGAUUGCAGUCUGCAACUCGACUGCAUGAAGCUGGAAUCGCUAGUAAUCGUGGAUCAGAACGCCACGGUGAAUACGUUCCCGGGCCUU
This 234-nucleotide ribosomal RNA is filed under the name uncultured Leptospiraceae bacterium. Its description in RNAcentral is "partial 16S ribosomal RNA". It matches the Rfam family "Bacterial small subunit ribosomal RNA", at positions 1149 to 1382 of the family's 1533-position model. The record is from RNAcentral. Lineage: Bacteria; Pseudomonadati; Spirochaetota; Leptospiria; Leptospirales; Leptospiraceae.